RNAcentral lists this ribosomal RNA (376 nucleotides) under uncultured bacterium. Its description in RNAcentral is "bacterial SSU rRNA". It matches the Rfam family "Bacterial small subunit ribosomal RNA", at positions 521 to 896 of the family's 1533-position model. The record is from RNAcentral.
UAAGACGAACCGUGCGAACGUUGUUCGGAAUCACUGGGCAUAAAGGGCGCGUAGGCGGCUUAUCAAGUCAGGGGUGAAAUCCGGCAGCUCAACUGUCGAAGUGCCUUUGAUACUGAUGAGCUCGAGGGAGGUAGGGGUCUGUGGAACUUCCGGUGGAGCGGUGAAAUGCGUUGAUAUCGGAAGGAACGCCGGUGGCGAAAGCGACGGACUGGACCUCUUCUGACGCUGAGGCGCGAAAGCUAGGGGAGCAAACGGGAUUAGAUACCCCGGUAGUCCUAGCCCUAAACGAUGGGUACUAGAUAGUGGACUUAACAUGGGUUCACUGUCGAAGCAAAUGUGUUAAGUACCCCGCCUGGGGAGUAUGGUCGCAAGGCUG